UAUAGGUCUAUGUAAUUGGU
RNAcentral lists this non-coding RNA (20 nucleotides) under Arabidopsis thaliana (thale cress). The record is from RNAcentral. Lineage: Eukaryota; Viridiplantae; Streptophyta; Magnoliopsida; Brassicales; Brassicaceae.